Molecule: ribosomal RNA, 468 nt
Filed under: uncultured bacterium
Lineage: Bacteria
Description: partial 16S ribosomal RNA
Rfam family: Bacterial small subunit ribosomal RNA
Source: RNAcentral
GACGAACGCUGGCCGCGUGCUUAACACAUGCAAGUCGAACGGAAAGGCCCUGCUUUUGUGGGGUGCUCGAGUGGCGAACGGGUGAGUAACACGUGAGUAACCUGCCCUUGACUUUGGGAUAACUUCAGGAAACUGGGGCUAAUACCGGAUAGGAGCUCCUGCUGCAUGGUGGGGGUUGGAAAGUUUCGGCGGGUGGGGAUGGACUCGCGGCUUAUCAGCUUGUUGGUGGGGUAGUGGCUUACCAAGGCUUUGACGGGUAGCCGGCCUGAGAGGGUGACCGGCCACAUUGGGACUGAGAUACGGCCCAGACUCCUACGGGAGGCAGCAGUGGGGAAUAUUGCACAAUGGGCGGAAGCCUGAUGCAGCAACGCCGCGUGCGGGAUGACGGCCUUCGGGUUGUAAACCGCUUUCGCCUGUGACGAGGCGUGAGUGACGGUAGUGGGUAAAGAAGCACCGGCUAACUACGUG